GACGAACGCUGGCGGCGUGCUUAACACAUGCAAGUCGAACGGAAAGGCCCUGCUUUUGUGGGUGCUCGAGUGGCGAACGGGUGAGUAACACGUGAGUAACCUGCCCUUGACUUUGGGAUAACUUCAGGAAACUGGGGCUAAUACCGGAUAGGAGCUCCUGCUGCAUGGUGGGGGUUGGAAAGUUUCGGCGGUUGGGGAUGGACUCGCGGCUUAUCAGCUUGUUGGUGGGGUAGUGGCUUACCAAGGCUUUGACGGGUAGCCGGCCUGAGAGGGUAACCGGCCACAUUGGGACUGAGAUACGGCCCAGACUCCUACGGGAGGCAGCAGUGGGGAAUAUUGCACAAUGGGCGGAAGCCUGAUGCAGCAACGCCGCGUGCGGGAUGACGGCCUUCGGGUUGUAAACCGCUUUCGCCUGUGACGAAGCGUGAGUGACGGUAAUGGGUAAAGAAGCACCGGCUAACUACGUG
This 467-nucleotide ribosomal RNA is filed under the name uncultured bacterium. Its description in RNAcentral is "partial 16S ribosomal RNA". It matches the Rfam family "Bacterial small subunit ribosomal RNA", at positions 28 to 507 of the family's 1533-position model. The record is from RNAcentral.